UCGAGAAUCUUCGGCAAUGGGCGCAAGCCUGACCGAGCGACGCCGCGUGGAGGAUGAAGGCCUUCGGGUUGUAAACUCCUGUCGAGGGGGAAAAAGGGUCGAAAGGCCUUGAUUGAUCCCUGGAGGAAGCACGGGCUAAGUUCGUGCCAGCAGCCGCGGUAAGACGAACCGUGCGAACGUUAUUCGGAAUCACUGGGCUUAAAGCGCGUGUAGGCGGGUCCGUACGUCCGUCGCUGAAAUCCCCCGGCUCAACCGGGGAACGGGCGUGGAUACGGCGGACCUGGAGGGGCGUAGGGGGACCUGGAACUUCCGGUGGAGCGGUGAAAUGCGUUGAGAUCGGAAGGAACGCCCGUGGCGAAAGCGAGGUCCUGGACGCCUACUGACGCUGAGACGCGAAAGCCAGGGGAGCGAACG
RNAcentral lists this ribosomal RNA (414 nucleotides) under uncultured Singulisphaera sp. RNAcentral describes it as "bacterial SSU rRNA". It matches the Rfam family "Bacterial small subunit ribosomal RNA", at positions 355 to 774 of the family's 1533-position model. Lineage: Bacteria; Pseudomonadati; Planctomycetota; Planctomycetia; Isosphaerales; Isosphaeraceae. The record is from RNAcentral.